UCCCCGUUCGUCCCCAACUCGCCAAAUCCGCAGCCGCCGCAAGCACAGAGACCCUCUAGAUCGAGCGCGAGCUCCACCCCCGCCGCCGCGAUGAGGGCCAAGGUUCGUCUCGAUUCUGUUCCUCCGCCUCCGUUGCGAUAUCGUUUGCUGUUUCGAUGAUGCCAUGACAUUGCGUAGUAGAAUUAGAGAACUAGUGCUGUCCUAGGGUUUGGUUCUAGAAGCUGUGCUAUGCGUGGUUUCUGCUGAUUUUGUCUUCGAUUCGAACGGUUAUGCUAUGCUGUUCUCUAUGAUGACGAAACACAGAUGACGAGUCUGACGAAAUCCAUUCCAUUAAACCAUGGGGACAAUCGAGGCAUUUGUCUGAGAGAACACUGAUCUGCUAGAAAAAGAUUUGUUUCGUCUAUGUCCUGUUUUAAAUUUCGGUUUAUUUGUUCGCAAUUGUUUCGGCAGUACUGGCAUAAUGAGGAAAAUCCUUAUUUUUCUGAUAUAGUUGAUGAUAAAUACCUCCUACUCAUUCUGAAUGCCAGAACACUGCCUGUUAUCCCUGUUUUGUUUUGUUUUCUUUUUGAAAGAGGUACCUUGUUUUGUUGGUAGAUUAGAUAAGGUUUGUUGGCUUUUGCCAUGUUCACUCUAAUCGGACAGAUUCAGAUCUUUUUUUAGGAAUCCUUAACAUUUUUCGCAAAAAAGAGUAAUCCUUCAUUGCUUGAUGUUGGGAUAUGAUGAAGAACCUUUGGUCCGUGUUUCUGAUCAACCCUUGAUGAGUAAACCACUCCUAAAGAAUCUGAUCCCAAACAAUUUAUAAAAAUAAUUGUGCUUUGUUCUGUAUAUUUAUCUAAUCCGAUAAAUUUGCCUGACACGAAGGAUACUGAUGCAUCUUGGCUUGUUCUGAUGUUCAGUGGAAGAAGAAGAGAAUGAGGAGGCUCAAAAGGAAGCGCCGAAAGAUGAGGCAGAGAUCCAAGUAGGCUUGCCUGGAGGAUGAAGGGAACUGUCUGUUGCAUUGUGACCUAGGCUUGUUAGGAUAAACACCCCGACGUGCUUUGGUGUAGAUGCAGGAGAUGUUUACCUUCUUGGGGUCUAGUUUUAUUUUUAGCUCAUCAAAACUCUGGUCAUGUUCUAAGGCUGGGUUUUAUGUAAUGUGAGGAUAAUAUGUUGCUUUGUGACUGAGUUUAUGCAGUUAAACGAGAUUUCUUGCACUAAAAAAUAUACUUACUGCCUAUCUGUUACCCUUGUGAUCGGUAGUUGUUUCCGUUAUCUGUGCUGUUUUCUCACGCGCUGUGGCAAUUUUCAGAAUCUCAGGAUGUUUUGCAUUGCUCCAUGGUGUAGAUGGAAUAGUUGCUUUGUUUUUGGUUGAGGCAUGACUGCAUCACUUGUUGAUUACAGAGCAGAGAGCGCUGGUGUUUAUGAGUUACAUUGGAUUUGUAUUGCUGUUGAGUUGUUAAUUACUGGAGUUUUAUAUCUCGUAUAGCUCUGGUGUUCUACUUUGCUUCGAUAAAUGAUGCCAUUUUAGCAGGCGAUUCUAAUUCUGCUGUCAGCUCCUGAUAUGUCAUGUUGAGAUCACUCCAUUGAGAUUAUGUGAAUCUUGAACUGUGUGCAAUUCGAAAUUGUAGAAAUAAUUGACUGCUUUGGGAUGGGAUUUGGGUUUGCAAUAUGUGGAGGAACAACAUAGACCUGUCUGGUUCAAACAGGCGUCAGUGAAAAAGCCUUCAGUGAACUCGUGGCGUCGACUCGUGAACUCUGAAACAGAUGAGGUGCAGGUGCACAAUAGAGACGGCUGGCCUCGCACCUGCACCAGCACCACUCCCUUAUCCGCUGGGCCUAGCAUGAAUUUGUUCGUAACCGUUUAUAUUCCUGCCAGCCUGAUCCCUGCACUAGAACUGAGAGCUUCUCAACUCAUCCGUUAAUGGAGGCCAUAGUCAGGGCAGGUGUAUCUUCCUCGGCGCCGGCGCAGCUACGCCCGUGCCCGAUGCCGUGCCGCAACCGCUGCCUACCGUCCUCCGUGCGCCGUCCCGGACGCCGGGGAGUUGCCUGCUCGGCCUCGGCGGCCGACGCCGACGUCGUCGAUCUCUUCGAUGCCGCCAAGCUCACGGUAUGGUAGUGAGAUACCUCACCGUUCGUUCGUGAGCAAGCCGUGUAUGUUCUCCAACGAAUUUUUGUUCUCUGUAGGUGGACAGGUUCGUGCAGAGCGGCAUGGUGGUCGGGCUAGGCUCCGGCCCGGCGUCCGCCCUGGCGGUCCAGUACCUCGGCACGCGCCUCCGCCGGGGAUCUCUCACCGAAAUCGUCGCAGUAACCUCGUAAGUUCUGAAUUUCUGAUUGCCAUUGCAUGAUCUGUUCCUUCUUCGUCACAGACUCAGAGUAACCUAGUAACUCUGAAUUUCUGUUUUCUGAUUGCCACUGCAUGAUCUGUUCCUUCCUUUGUGCAUGAAAGUGCUUCUUUUCUCAUCAGACACUCGAAUCAGUUUGCAUCUAAUCAGCUCUUGGGAUUGAUUGACCAGCCAGGUCCGUGCUCAGUGCGAGCGAGGCAGACAAGGCCGGAAUACGGGCUAGCAGCUAUCAGGAAGGAACCCAAGUGAGUAUGCGCAGUGCUGUACGCCUGUAACCAUCAGCUGUAAACCUCUUCUUACAACACGGGAAGAACAGCAUCUGAAACUGUGCUCUGCUCACUGACGUAUAGAUUGAUUUUGCUUUCACUGAUGCUGAAGUAAUCGAAGAGGGCACGCUGGCUGCCGUCAUCGGGCGGCGCAAGACCGAGAGUGGAGAGCCCUCUUUCAUGGUGGAGAAGGUAUUUGACUACUUAAUCAAUGUCUUCAGAGUUAGCGCGUGCAUGGAUUUCUGAUGGAUAAUCAUUCGUAUGUAGGCAACAGUAAUAGAUGCAUUGCAUAUCUGAACCAUUUAUUUGAUUUCAACCAUGUUGUCCCAUGUGUUAUACAGGCAAUGGUUAAAUCAGCUGAUAAACUUGCCUUCAUCACUGGAAAUGACAAAUACCUGACAGGUGUUGAGGGUUCCAUUCCAGUCAUAGUUAAAAGUGUAAGGAAAAAAAAAUCCUGUUGCUUCAGAUAUGGUCAGUUUUAUACAAUGUUUAUGAAGAGAGGAACAGAUGAUUUCAGGGAAAUUGGAUAGACACUGCUGAAGAGAUCGACGAUUUGUUCCUAGGGGAUGCAGAGGUGCCCUCAUCCAUACGAAUACUCAAUAGUUAAAUUUUCAGAACUCGAAUACCUGCUGGACUGCUGAAACUGAAACGCUCAUGAAUGUUUGGUCACCAUUGUAUGCGAUUUUCUGAUCAGGUUUGGAGGAGGCCAUCAUUUGGGACUGCCGGUCCACUAGGGGGUGAUCACCCAUUGGUCACUAAGGAGGGUCAUCACGUUCUUGAUGUGAUCUUUACGACUCCAAUCCCAGAUCUAGGUAAGCUGAUGGAAGAUCAUUGCAACAAAGGGGCUAAACUCAUCUUGAGUCCAUUAGACCAUUUCUUGGGCCAAAGCUUUAGCUGGUUGCUUUGCCAUAUUUAUUGCAGGUCAGGUAGCAGAGAAGUUGGACAAAGUUGCUGGCGUUGUGGAUCAUGGGAUUAUUUGUAGCAACCAGUAAUUUUCUUAACGCAAGCAUACAGAAUAAUAUUUUUAAUUAAUUUUGUGGGGAUGGUUUACGGAGGUGUGUUUCAGGUUUUCUUUUUCCCCCAAAAAGGUGCUUCUCAGUGUUCUUACACGCUGCAUCUCCUGCCCUGCAGAUCGUAUGCGGUGAUUGCAUCCAAGGGGGAAGUGCAGGUUAUUGAGGAGAAACCCUCGGUGAUACCGUAGCGCUGCAGAAAUCUUCCAGUUGCCUGCAGAGGCGCCAUUUUUCUCCACACAUUCCGGAUAAGAGUACUUCCAGGUUGGCUGGAAAAUGCCUGAGAGUUAAAUAAUAUAGUAGCACCAAAUGUAAUCUCUUCAGUAUCCAACACUCUAUGCACCAGUAUGCAAAACCUUCCACUUCGUGUGCAAUGAAGAUCAACAAAUCUGCAGUCACAGACUGUUAACAUGCCGAAAACACCAUUUUCCAUGGCAGGUUACUGAUAACUAUGCUCGUAGGUCCAAAAAAAUUAGUUGGGCAGCAAAGCAAGUAUGCUUGACAGAAUGUCGACUGACAAAUACUAGCGCUUUGCAAUUUUCAUCCAGGAUACAUAAAAUGGCAGUGUUGAACCGCAGGACUUCCUCUUCCUGGCUUCUUGUCCCACAUGUCAUAGAAACAUUUUCUUGCCAAAAAUUUUCACAAAUGUGGCUUCAAUAUUGCUAGCCAAAAUGAUUUUGGCAGCCACAAGUCGCCUAAUGUUAAGGUUAGGCACCAACCAAACAGAAAGCUCCACCUCCCAGCUCCAAUCCAAGCAGCCGUCAGAGACAUACAGUACUAAUAAAACUUUUUUAGGGAAUGCUAUUGUUUCGCCCAAAAAGCAGAAACUGCAAGCACAAGUGCACAACAUGUUCAGUUCCCCAACUAUGCCUGAACUCUAAAACACACACAGAGAGAUCAAUACAAUUUCUUGAUUCAUAUGGCUCGUUCUUUCUAAUCAUGUGACACGGCAAAGUUCUUGCCGUUAUCCCGAAUAAAAAGAUAUAAUCCAUACGGCUGACAGAUAUCUCUAAAUAAACACAACUAGCAAUCAUAUUUACGCUGCAACCUCAGCACACAAGGAACGUCUGUAAGCAACUUGAAAAGAUGUGUCAUUAUCUCCUUACUCCUGCUUUUUCUCCAACACCACCUUCCUGCUGUCGAAGAAAAACAGUUUAGAACAAUUUAGAAGACGUGCAAGUUCCGUCAAGUUUAGCUAGAGACAUUAGUAGGUUUCAUGAAUUCAGCAGACAUAUACAAAUGAAGGGCGUGGUUGUAUCACGGUACAACAACCUGAGUAGCUACAGGACAUUUGGCCUGUUCGUUUCAGCUUAUUCAGCCGGUUUAUCAGCCACCAAACAGUAUUUUCCUUUCACAACAAAUCAGUCGUUUCAGCUUUUCAGCCGGCUUAUAAGCUGAAGCGAACAGGUCCGCCUUCAGGCAGUCACAUGAAGAUGCCACUCCUUGGCGUCUCGUUGCCCGGAGGAAUCACCAUGGCGAAGAAAUUGGAAGGCAGCUCCGUGAAAGUGAAGCCAUCCGAGCGUCACUACAUAAAACGAUUUGUAGGGCACCCCAUAUUUUAUUUUUAUAAGGAUAGGCGAAAUUGCUAUCCGCAUCUACAAAACGGAUCGCUAUUGUAGCAUACGACCUACCCGUGGAGAACCAUUUGUAGGGAUGGGCCACGGGACGACCCGCCCCUGGGGGGCGAUUUCGAUUUUCAUGGGCGGGCGAUGGGGUGUCCCGUCCAUGGAAAUCACAAUUUGCAAGGGGCGAGUGACGGUAUCACCCGCUCCCGAAAAUUAUUUCCAGUAACGAGUGAUGACGUGGGCCGCUUCUAGAAAUGGUACAAUUUCUUGAUGCAUGAAUGCGCCAUGAACAUCCUUAGCAGAACACUUUGCAUGGUGCCUCAUUGCCUUCUUGAAUGUGAAUAUGGCAAGAAACAAGUUCACAAAAAUAUAAACCGUAGCUCAAAAAAUAAGUGUCAUAUAUAAACCAACAUAUAAAUCAUGUCACAACUCAACAUAACCACAACCAAAUGAUAGAUCCCACAGAACAGAUAAGACAUGUCACAUUACAUAUAAAGUUUGUAGAUCACAACUCAACAUAACCAAAUAACAAAUUCCACGCAACAGAAACAAAACCAAGAUUCAUUGACAAAUAACACUACUACACUAUCCAUUUCUUCACUUAGCAUUAGCUACUCCUAAGGCAAAUAUCCCAAGCAUAACACCUACAAUCAAGGUCACAACAGUAGUGAUGACAGCCACGUUGCAUGCACCCCCAACAGUCUUUUUUUUCUGGCCACAACAGCCUUGUUUUCUUUCCCAAAAGAUGCUUCAACUCUCCCACUUCCAACUUUAGUUUAUUAACAUUCCCUUUCAUUUCUCCACACUGGAUCUUCAAUUCACACAUCUCCAUCUUCAGAUCACAAAUUGCCAAUUUUAUUUGACUUAUCUCAUUCAACAUGCCAUUGCUUGCCAACGGCUCAGGAGGCUGAAAUCCAGCACUUGACUGAGCUGCUGCUGUUCCUGGAGCAAUACCUGCCAAUUGAUAGUUUGGAGGCAUCGAAUGGGGAAAUUUUUUCCUUCAAAUGGUUCAAGUACUGAGGCUCAAACCAGUAUUGGUCAUAUAUUCUAGAAUCUCCCUACUUCAACAACACAAAUGCAACUCAACCCUUUGGUUCCAACACGGUUGAUUCCAUGAUGUUAGGGUUGCAAUCUUACCUUAGUGUUGUUGGGGUACUUGUAGAAGAUGUAGCCCCCAUUGCUCCUGAGCCAAAUCACCCUUAUUCCGCAUUUAUGGCAGUCGACGAGGGGAAGUUGCACGAACUGGUUGCGACUUGGUACCAACGAUGGGAAGCUGCUCGACAUAACCUUCACUUGCUUGUUCUCGACGGAUGUCGAGGAGCUAGAGGACAGUGAGAAGUUCAACAACUUGCCUUGCCCCCCUUGGCCUCCUUUGCGGCAGCGGAAGCUGUGGCGGCGUGCGGCAGCGGUGGAAGCUAUGGCGGUGUGGCUGCGACGGCGAAGGUGAAAGCAUACCGGCGGCAUGCCCGCAUGGAAGGAGGUGUCGUGGGAGGAGAGCGCCACGGUGGCGGCCCGAGCGCGGAAGGAGGCGCUGCGAAUGGAAGGCGCCGUGGGAGGAGGGAAGGAGGCGCGACGCUGCGGCAUGGCGGUGGAGGCGUCGCGGGGAGGCGCUGCGGCGGCGGAGCACGCGGGGGAGGGGAGCGGCGCCGGAGCGGGGGCGGAAGGAGGGGCCGGGGAAAUUUUGACAGCCUAACGGCGUCCCGCGGGCUUCUCCAAAAAUUUGGCUUAGUAACCGUGGGCGCCACUAUAUAUAUAGGGUGGCAUUAGCAGCACCUGGAAAUCAUUUCUUCAUUUUUUUUCUAAAAUGUAUUUUGGAGCUAUUAAAUGAUCUUAAAUGCAAAAGUUAUCAACUGCAAAGUUUAAUGUCUCGUUGAGCUCCACAAUUUUGAUAUAAAGUUUUUAUUUAUCCAAGAAGAAAUGAAAAUUUCAAAAAAUACAUUCACUAAACACAUUCACAUGUACUCACACAUAUACUCAUACAUUCACAUAUACUUUGCGGUGAAUAUGUGUGUUUAGUGGAUGUAUUUUUUUAAUACAAAAUAUUUUUAAUUUCAUCUCGGAUGGAUACAAACUUUAUAUCAAAAUUAUAGAGAUCAAUGAGAUAUUAAACUUUGCAGUUGACAACUUUUGCAUUUAAGAUCAUUUAAUAGCUCCAAAAUACAUUUUAGAAGAAAAAUAAAAAUGGAGAAAAUAUUUCCAGCCAUCACCCGCACUUGGAAAUCGUUUCUAGGGGCGGGUGGUGACGUCACCCGCCCCUGCUAAAUGGUAGCCUAUAUAUGGUGGCGCUCGCGGGGACUUAGCCAAAUUUUUUCUUGAAAAAUGUAGACGUUUAACAUUUGAAAUUAGGGUUCAACAUUUCGUUCAACUUUUUUUCGAAAAAAUGUUGGUGAACAUUUUUUUAUCCAACAUUUUUCCAGUUGAAAUGUUGAAUAGACCAUCAUCAGUUGGAUCUUGGUGGCUUUGAAAUGGAUCAGUUGGAUCUGGUGGCUUUGAAAUGGAACGGAACUGCGAAGCUAAGCUUUAUAUCAUCAGCUGGACCUUGGUGACUUUGAAACGGAACGGAACUCCGAAGCUAAGCUUUAGCUCAAACGCUUAUCCAUCUUACAGCCGGUAGACUAGUAGUAACAGGGUUCUCUAAAAAAAAUAAAAGUAGUAACAGGGGGAAUGUGCUUGAUAGGUGAUAGCAGCAUAAGAUCAUCUAGAAGUUUUUUCUCCAACAGAAAAGAUAAAGAGGUGCUGCCAGAUCCUUCACCGCAGCAACCGGCGGAGGUAACAAAUGACGCAUCAGCUGAAUGACUCAUACAACAAAUAGCACAUCGACUGAAGACACAUACAACGAAUAUGAGGAUGAGAACAAGGAACCUUUGCCAGCCUCAGGAGCUCAGGAUCAGUGAAUCCCUGACCCCGAGCGCUGCUGCAACCUGAGCAAGUCCAAAUUGCAAAUUCAACAGAUCAAUUUGAUUAAAUGACCACCAAUCCACCAUAUAUCCUCCAGCAAGCUGGUCACUAGUACUGUAUCAGAAGAUGUUUACAACAACCGAACAUCCUGGGGUUUCCAGACAACACCCAUUUUCAAGUUGCAUCUCGCUAUCAGAAACUGGCCUAAUAUACUCUUUCCCCAACAUGCAUAGUGCUUUUUUUUAAUAAUUUCUUCAACGAAAGGAGGACUUAAGUACAGCAGGGGCGACAGAACAGCUAGUAAGGUAGAGUAGAACAGCCAUUGAUAGCCCCCCUGUUGAAUUUGAUGCUGAGGUUUUGUCUAAUUGAAGAAACAGCAUUGCCACCUAACUAGAGAUUUUUUUCCUCCAGCUAAAGUCAAAAGUCCAAAAUUCAUACUCUGACACCACCUCUAUUCUGAAUCGCUCUCCAGGCUUAGAGCCUUCAAGCCUCUAGCCCUCUGCAUGAUGUUUCACUCAUGUAAGUAACAAGCAUUCAACGGAACAGAGGUAGAAUACAUGCUUCUUGAAGCAAAACAAAUUUAAUUGUAUCCAGGUUACCUUUUUUGAACUCUUCUUCUCUCGAACUUCAUAUCUCUCAUGUGACAGAUCUGACAACCAAGCUCCUGGGCUCACCAUCUGUGAUUAUACCGCAAAAUGAAUCAGACAACAGUGUAAAAAAACAGAGAGCACUAUAACAGCAACAAAGAAAACAGAAGUUGAAAUCAAGUUUUUGAGCUUGAUCAUUACAAGCAAGCACUUCUGCAUCAGCUUGGGUCUUUUCUUUGGCCUCUGUGGGAGCUUGCAGCCCUUCAUUGCCAUGAAAUCCUCCUCCUUCUCCUUGUUAGACAAUGCAAUGAAGAACCUUGGCAACGCAGUGGUUCCCUUGUCCUCUGUUAAACCACCAAAAUCGAACCCAUUCCCCUCAAAAGGAAAUGGAGAACCCCUAGUGGAGUAAUACCGGUCCUUCUCUGGGGAGAGUGCCAUUGACUGCUUGUACUCGUUCGCUGGUGAAUCCGAUUUCCUGCUCACAUAGUAAGGUAUUUUGAGCACUGUACUAGGGCACCUGCUGGUAUUGCAGCGGGCAAUUCGAAUAAAGCCUGAAUACACUGAAUCUACCUGCGUUGAAGGGUGCUUGGGCGGCGUGGCGAACGAAAUGGUGCAAUGUCAGCUCCGAGAAGAGGCCGGGUUGCACGGGGCACAACACGUCUAAGAACUUCAGAUGGCGAGGGUGAUGGUGAGCCGUCAUCGCGCGUCUUGACACAGCGCAGCCGCUUCCGGCUUCCCCAUUGCAGGAAGAGGUUUGGCUCGCUGGGAGACCUCGAGGGCCUUGAGUCCUUCACCUCCUGAUCCAUCCGUACCCUGAAAGUGAACGCAGGUAGUUAGGUACCGAGUAGAAACUUAAGUCAAUGGAGCAACUUCGGAUCAAAGUUCCAGUGGAUUUUGGGAAGAGAGGAGGAUGGGCACUCAAAUCAAAGCAAAAUCUUGCCCCGAAAUUCAUCAAAAAAAAAAUCCUGCCCAACACACGAAGCAAGUGCCCCCUCUCCAUCCAAACACCUAGUGCCCUCUUAUCUUACCAUCACCAGCUAGAAUGAGAAAAGAAAUAGAACUCGAUCUUAUCUGAGCACAUCUGCUUUGCACAAGGACUCUAGAAGGGGGAACGGAGCAUGCACUAGAACUAGAAAGCGGAGAAAAAUACUUGUUUUAUUCCAAAACAAAUCUAAUCCUUCUCUUCAAAAGGUAUCCGCUAGCUGAUACAAGCAAAUCAGACGCCCCCAAGCAGGGGCAGACCCAAGGAUGGCAAUCUUUACACAAAAAAACGAAGUUUGCCGGUUGUAAUACAUUUGCAACUUCGAAUUGGGUCAGAUCCGAAUACCAAUAGCUUUGGGGCGCUCAGUUUCGCACAGCGGGAAGGGACGAGAUGGGGCGGACGUACCGGGUGGGUGCUCGUCGGCGGCGAAGAGCCCGGCGAAGACGGGGCAAAGGGCGGCGCCGCUCGCCCAGUCGGCGCCGCAAGGCCACGAGAGAGAGGACAGGAAGGGGCAGGCAGGCAGACUGAGAGAGAGAGCUGCACGGGAGGAAAACAAAAGAUUAGGGGUGAAGGCGCACGCGGCACGCCGCAGUCAGCGACGCGCUCGGGCCGUGUCGAAGUAGUUCUCGUUCGGCCCAAGAAGGUCCCGUUCGAAUAAAAAGAAGCCUGGCCAUAUUUGCCGUGUUGGUUGUUUGUAGCACUCGGCCCAACGUUGGAUUGGGGCCUGGUCCGUUCGAACAAAAGCCUGAUCUGACCUGUGUGCGUGGGGGGCAUCUUCCAGCGUGAUCAGAAAUCUAGGGAAUCCAACGAAGGAGAAAAAAAAAUCAACCUUCACAUAUCCUAUAAAAACCACCCGGAGAUCUAGAGAAUUUACAAAUCACAGGGCAACUCUACCAUAUAUCACCAAAAAAAAUCUGAAAUUUAACUUAUCACCUAGCACUGCUACCACAUCACCACGCACCUGUACAACAUCACUUAGAGAGACAUGUAAUUUAACAUAUCGCGCUACCAUAUCAACAAGCAAUGCAAAUAUAACACAUUCACGGCGCGCGACACCAAACAAUCAUGUUAGGCAAGGAUCAUAGCAAUGAAUUACUUGGGAGACAUCUCCCAAAAAAAACACUUGUGGCCUGUUCGCUUCAGCUUAUAAGCCGGCUGAAAAGCUGAAACGGCUGAUUUGUUGUGAGAGGAAAACACUGUUUGGUGGCUGAUAAGCCGGCUGAAUAAGCUGAAGUGAACAGGCCGUUAGUUUUUAAUGUUUCACAGGUGCAUUAAGACUAAAUCGCUAUUAUAGAUAGGCAAUGAUUAUAGAUUGUAGUAAUAUCAUGAACUGCAAAAGCAAAACAAGCCACAUGAGAUAUCUUUGCCAAUUUGAACAUUGUCAUUAAUAUGUCACUAACCUAAUAAGUGCACAUCCAGCAUGGUACCCUGAUUCCAAUUCAUCCUUCACAACAAAAAAGAAGAAGCUUAGAGCAAUGAUAGGCUGAUAUCUAUGUCACGUUAGCUAGAGAAUUUCAAAACUUGUAAAUCAACCUAGCUAGAGAAAUAUAGAAGUAAGAUUUCACGAAUUCAAAAAGUAACUGAACAAUUCAAUCAAAUCAAGUGGUGCAGUGGUAAAACUUAUAAUUAACAAUUUGGGCAGCCGCAAGACUUUACUUCGGGUCAAUGACUAUUGGGUGAAGAUGUCUCUCAAAUUUCUUUGGCCUGGCAGUGAUAGGCGUCCAAACCAAUAGACUCUCGAGAUAGGCAGCUCAACAUUUACAGAUGUAAUCCUCCAUAGGAUCCUCCUUCUCUUAGGCUUCUUAUCACUACCAUCCACCAUCAGGAUGGAAAACUUGGGCUCCAUCGCCGGCAACUGUUCUUUCUUAAGCUUCACAGCCUCCAGAGAUCUUUGGCUAGGAACUUCUUAUAAUUCCUCCACAUAUUGGUUGCAGGAUCAAAGUUCCACACAGAGAUGUUGACAUCGCCAAGUGGCUAGGAAUGAUCAAUGUACACAAACUUGAUAAAGCUGACAACAUAGGCCAUCAUCCUGGUCAUGGGAAAUGCGUCUGAUAGCUCAAACCUGGGUUUCGUCCACCUCUCGUCAGGCGACCUAUGAACCCAAAAUCCACUACUGCACCACCGUCAGCUAGGGCCAAUUGCAGUGCGCGAGUCGCUUGUGCUACCGCUGCAGCUGCCCAGCGCAACUGCUCAGCUGCAAACCCCAAACAGCUGCAACCUGAUCACUAAAGCUAAUGACUUGCACAACAAACAAAUACAGAACCAAUAGUUUGUAUAGUAAAAGAACAGUCUCACUGUUCUGGUUGUUGUAUAGCUGCAGCAAGCUGUUCCGAGCACUGCCGACAUCGGCGGCGAACAAAUCCUGAAACGACUGCUCUGGGAGGUUCCACCUUAGCACAUGCUAUCGACACUGUUCGUCCGUAGGUGCAGGCAGUGACCAACACAGACAACAUCCUCCGUGCGCCGCUCCAUUUGCUUUCAUGCCGCAAAGCACGUCAUAGUUGACUCGGAUGUACAAGGCUGAGAUGAAGUCCGGGGUGGAGUCAAUGAGGCAGGCCUAGAGGGUGAGCCCCUCCACCACCCUCUGGCCAUGCACUUUGCAGCUGGAGGACUUCUUGAUCGGGCAGUUGAUGUUCGUCCACUCCUGCUGUAGCCACACAGGUUGCACGGGAGGCCUUUUUCAUAUCACGAAGCGCUUCAACUCGAACGAGGACGACACAUAUUUUGUCAGCGCGAGCCAUAGAUGGGGGAAAUACCGGGCUGUGGCCGCAACCACGGUUUUCGCACACGCGGCGGUGGCUAUGGCUAGCGCACGAAGUUGUACGGUGUAAGAGGAUGAGGGACCCACAUGCUUCGUUGCAUGCGGGAUUCACGUGGAUCCAACAGGUGGAUGGUGGAUGUAGUGUCAAAAAACAUAUUGUGACACGCGAAUACAACUUUUUUCCCAUUUUUCCAUUUAUACUCAAGUAAAUAUCAUUUAUGCGUAUAGGUCAUGUGCAUUAGUUGUUUAACAACAUUUGCAAAAAUUAUGACAAACAUUAUACAUAUAAAUUGUAUAUAUCAUAAAGGUUGUGCUACAAAAUUUAUUGUAAGGAAAAAUACGCAUGUAAAUUGUUUGUAUAAGUUAUGACUUUUUAAAAAUGAAAAUUUGAAGUUGUCCUUUAGAAUUGCACUUGGAAGUGCUACGCAUAAGUUAUGCAUUCCAUUAAAGUUGUGCUGAAAAAUUAUCUCAUAAGAAUUUUUAAUACGAAGUUAUGUGUAUAAGUUAUGAUAUUUCAAAAAAUAAAAAGUUGUUGGAAUUUAUUUUCCGAAAACUAGAAAGUUCGAAGAAGUGUAGUGGGCUGUCGGGAAUCAAGCAGCCCUCCUGGUGAGCGCGCUCCAUUAGUGUUGGUGCUGUUAUAUAUCAGCGAACGUGAUAAAAAAAAACCCCAUAGCAUUGGUGCUGCUAUAUAUCACCGAAGGUGAUAAAAAACCCACUGUUGCCUUCAUUUUCACCCAGCAGCUUCCUCCGCCUCGGCACAAUGAGUGGCCCACUCGAGGUCAUUCUCCUCCUUCGGUCCUUCCUCCCGAUGAACACAAUACCACCGCCUUCUUCCCCCGCGCCGCCAUCCUCCUCCAUCUCCGGUGGUAGGAGAUACCGGAUCCGCUGCCCCAUCGCCCUCUCCUCCAGUUCACACUCCUCUCUUCUCAUUCGCCCCCCGCACCAACCUCCUGCACUGUCUCCGACGGCUCCUGCCGUCAGAUUCGUCGCCACCGGCCGCCAUCGCUCUAACCCGGCUCUGCCGGGGAGCUCACCGCUAUGGCCCUACCUCCUCCACCGCCCAUCGAUUGUCCUCCACCACCUGCGGCUGGCGGCACCCCGCCGCCUCGCCACCACCUCCGGCUACCUUCCACCCAAGACUUCCCCUCUACAACCGGAAGCUCACCGGCGACCCUAACACCAUAGCAACCUGAAACCGAACCCUAAGCUCCUAACCCUAGCCAUGGCCUCAGCGGCUACGGGAGGAAGACGACGGCAACAUUGCUCGGCCAUCGUGGGCCGUCGUCCGCGCCUUCAUGCGACAACUUGCAAAUUUGUCGCCUUCACCCAUUAGCAUUGCCCGUGAUCAGAACAGUUGGCCAGGAAACCAGGUAUAACCACGCGGCAGCAUAUAGCAUACAGAUACUCGAGGACCAUCCCAACCAAAACGCGUGGACGUUUCGUUAGUUCAAACAUUCCUCCGAUCGCUCUAGCCUUCAGCACUCCGCUGGCUUUGAAAAGUGAACCCAGAUCGCUGACUACGAAUUUUGACGAACCCUGGACGAGUCAUUUCUUGACGCAAAGGAAGAGGACACACGGUCAGGCAGAAAAUCCUCUAGAAGAAGUCGAGACUCGUACGGCGCGUGCCCCCGGCCGAUUCAAAAAGUUCAUCUCCGUAUGACGCAGCCGGUCCGGUCCAAACACCGAAAGCAACGAGGCCGUCAACGCUUUCCAUCACCGUCUGGGCUUCGUUCCGUCCGACCGACGCCACACCUCACGUACUCCCUCAAGUCAUCAUCUGCGUCCCAGUCUGUAUCACAUGCUCUGCUGCAGCUGAACAGCCCUGCAUACUUGGUGGAGGGGAAAGGUAGGCGACGGAACCAACGCAACCUCUGACCUCUCUUUUCGGCAAACCAUGGCGUCGUGGCUGUUGCUCCGGAGGAUCCAAUCUGCUGGCCGUCUAUCCGGCGGCCAUGGCCGGCUGCUCAGCUUCAGGGGCGGCGAGGGGCUCUGCCGUCCUCUUCCCCCGGCGGGCGAGCCAUCAGUCUGCAGCAGUGCCUACGGGCAAAUCAAGACAGACACCAGGAUCACGGUUUGUUCCUUUCCUCCCUUUCUCAAGUUCAAUUCCAGAAUCAUAGGACCUAGUUAAAUUUCGGUUUUUCAUACCUUCCAAGAAGAAAUGCGUUCAGAUAAUUUCAUCUGGACCAUUUCUGUGUCUUCUUCUUUGCGUGUAUGUAUCCAUCGUUUCUGCUGAAAAGUCUUCUGAUGCUUAUUUCAAAAAAAAAAAACGGUCUUCUGAUGCUUGCUGCUUGCGAUAUACGUGCAGAACCAUGAGCCACAUCUCGACAGGUUUUCAGAUCCCCAGGUUGCUCAUGAGGACCGUCAGUUCAUUCAGUUCUUGGACAGGAUGCUGGAUGCGAUGAGGAACCCUCAAAGUCUUGCGCUAAUACAGCGUGGGAGGCUGGCAAGUGGGCUGAAAGCAUUGGAUGAUGACAUAUGAGCCAAGUUCCCUCUGCAGACAUACAAGAGCCGAAUAAACGUGAAAAUUUGUGUUGUGUAAAAUGAUCCUGCUGUGUUUUCUGACUAACAUUGCACAAGUUUAGUGUGUUGAGACUGAUGCUGUUUAGGUUCAUUCCUAGUGGAUGAGAACAUCAACUUACUUGAAGCAAUUUCAUCUCUGAAGUGGGAACUGUUUUUCAAUAUCAAAUUGCCAAUAAUCUAUAAUAAAUUGUAGGCUUACCUUUGCUCAAAUGUUUUGGCCAACUCAACGGCCAGUAGAAGCGAAGAAUACAUCAUCUGCACUCAUACUUGUGCCUAAGCUUUCAUGUUGGCAACAUGCUAGCAACUAGCACUUCAAGCAUCCGACAACAAUUAUCACAGGCUCACAGGAAGACAUCUGAACAUGCCAAGCUUCUCUUUGAAAAUGUCGAUAUCAAAUAAUAACUUUCCACAUUUUUUUCCUUUGGUCUUUCGCAUCUUUUAAUGCUUGAGAUCAGGUAGAUAUCCCUAAUUCCUUACUGGCUGCAUUGCAUAUGAUGCUUCAGAUGACAACAAAGGGUUGGCAAAAGAAUUAUGCUAUACAAAAUAAAGUAUUAAGUUUAAUUUAAAACUCGUACCUGGAGAAACAAAAAAGAUAAAUUAUGUUAAGGGGUAAAUUGAACCAAAUUGCAUAGUUUAGGGGUAAACUGAACCAAGAAAUAGUUUAGGGGUUAUCCAGACUUUGUCUAUAGUUGAGGGAAAUAAUUUAAAUUUUUUUCCUAAGUUUAAUAAGAAAGAAAGACAUAUAAACUAGGAACUGCAGAACUUGCACAGGAAAGUGUCACCAUUGGCCACUCAUGAAUCGAAUGAGCUUGCACACUGGUAUCAAGGCACCAUAUCACAUAUCAGUGCAAAAGAAAUGUAGGGACAACACACGGACCUGUCAGCAUGCCAUGGAACAAUUUUAAUUUCCGUAUAAGUGUUUGAACAGAAGAAAGAAAAAA
Molecule: long non-coding RNA, 15851 nt
Filed under: Setaria viridis
Lineage: Eukaryota; Viridiplantae; Streptophyta; Magnoliopsida; Poales; Poaceae
Description: long non-coding RNA (SVIR_LNC010093)
Rfam family: Plant small nucleolar RNA SNOR75 (bases 282-369)
Source: RNAcentral